Molecule: long non-coding RNA, 564 nt
Organism: Nilaparvata lugens (brown planthopper)
Lineage: Eukaryota; Metazoa; Arthropoda; Insecta; Hemiptera; Delphacidae
Exons: 3
Source: RefSeq, a predicted model, not a curated record
ACCUCAAUCUUUAAUUGUUGGAUGGUCUGUUUUGAUAUUAUUUUGCUGUUGGUUGUCAGAUUUCGGAUUGCUACUAUUAUACUGUUAAAUUAAUUUGCAGUGGAAAAUUGAGGUAUAACAUAUUUCUAUUGGUUUCUUUAUUCUUAUAAUUUUUACAAGAGAAAUUGAAAAUGGAUUUACAACAGAAAGGCGUGAAAUUUUCAAGGCUCAAAGUUUUGUACUUUCCAGACCUGCACAACGAAUUACCUAUUUGAAAAAUGGAAUAUGGUUAAAAAUUGCUGAUGUAAUAGAGGAUUCAAGUACCAUUUACAAACAAGAUAUUGAAGAGAAUGUGCUCAAAGGAAAUGCAUAUGAAUUCUUUUUUGUUGACCAGGAUGCAACAAUUCUUUGGAACAAUAGUUAGAAUAAGUUAGUUAGGCCUAGUGGUGUACCAGCCAGAAGUAGAGGAUGACAAAGAAAAUCAACUAUGAAUAAUAUUCCAUGGAUAUGAUUCAUGUAUGAUGUAGUAGCCUACAGAAGAAAGAGAUGGACUAAUCUAAGAAAUAUAUUCAUUUUUUCAGUACA